Molecule: ribosomal RNA, 338 nt
Filed under: uncultured Sphingobacteriales bacterium
Lineage: Bacteria; Pseudomonadati; Bacteroidota; Sphingobacteriia; Sphingobacteriales
Description: bacterial SSU rRNA
Rfam family: Bacterial small subunit ribosomal RNA
Source: RNAcentral
AUGGUUGUCGUCAGCUCGUGCCGUGAGGUGUCGGGUUAAGCCCCACUAACGAGCGCAACCCUACCUUUAGUUGCCAUCAGGUAAUGCUGGGGACUCUAAAGGAACUGCCUACGCAAGUAGUGAGGAAGGCGGGGAUGACGUCAAAUCAGCACGGCCCUUACGUCCAGGGCUACACACGUGCUACAAUGGCCGAUACAGAGGGCAGCUACCUGGUGACAGGAUGCAAAUCUCCAAAGUCGGUCUCAGUUCGGAUCGGAGUCUGCAACCCGACUCCGUGAAGUUGGAUUCGCUAGUAAUCGCGCAUCAGCCAUGGCGCGGUGAAUACGUUCCCGGGCCUU